UACGUAGGGGGCUAGCGUUGCCCGGAAUCACUGGGCGUAAAGGGCGCGCAGGCGGCCAUUCAAGUCAGAGGUGAAAGCCCAAGGCUCAACCUUGGAAUUGCCUUUGAUACUGUUUGGCUUGAGACCGGAAGAGGUUAGUGGAACUGCGAGUGUAGAGGUGAAAUUCGUAGAUAUUCGCAAGAACACCAAUGGCGAAGGCGGCUAACUGGUCCGGUUCUGACGCUGAGGCGCGAAAGCGUGGGGAGCAAACAGG
Molecule: ribosomal RNA, 253 nt
Filed under: uncultured bacterium
Lineage: Bacteria
Description: partial 16S ribosomal RNA
Rfam family: Bacterial small subunit ribosomal RNA
Source: RNAcentral